CUGGCGGUAUGCUUACACAUGCAAGUCGAACGGCAGCACGGACUUCGGUCUGGUGGCGAGUGGCGAACGGGUGAGUAAUGCAUCGGAACGUGCCCAUCUGUGGGGGAUAGCUCGGCGAAAGCCGGAUUAAUACCGCAUACGAUCUAUGGAUGAAAGCGGGGGACCUUCGGGCCUCGCGCAGAUGGAGCGGCCGAUGUUAGAUUAGGUAGUUGGUGGGGUAAAGGCUCACCAAGCCGACGAUCUAUAGCUGGUCUGAGAGGACGAUCAGCCACACUGGGACUG
Molecule: ribosomal RNA, 282 nt
Filed under: uncultured beta proteobacterium
Lineage: Bacteria; Pseudomonadati; Pseudomonadota; Betaproteobacteria
Description: partial 16S ribosomal RNA
Rfam family: Bacterial small subunit ribosomal RNA
Source: RNAcentral